This 253-nucleotide ribosomal RNA is filed under the name uncultured bacterium. RNAcentral describes it as "partial 16S ribosomal RNA". It matches the Rfam family "Bacterial small subunit ribosomal RNA", at positions 524 to 776 of the family's 1533-position model. The record is from RNAcentral.
UACGUAGGUGGCAAGCGUUAUCCGGAAUUAUUGGGCGUAAAGCGUGCGUAGUCGGUUAUCUAAGUCGGGUGUGAAAUCCCCGGGCUCAACCUGGGAAUUGCAUUCGAUACUGGAUAGCUAGAGUUCGGCAGAGGGAAGCGGAAUUUCGGGUGUAGCGGUGAAAUGCGUAGAUAUCCGAAGGAACAUCAGUGGCGAAGGCGGCUUCCUGGACCAGAACUGACGAUCAGGCACGAAAGCGUGGGGAGCAAACAGG